AGCUCAGUCGGUAGAGCAUGAGACUUUUAAUCUCAGGGUCGUGGGUUCGUGCCCCAC
RNAcentral lists this transfer RNA (57 nucleotides) under Erinaceus europaeus (western European hedgehog). It matches the Rfam family "tRNA", at positions 9 to 63 of the family's 71-position model. Rfam says of the family: Transfer RNA (tRNA) molecules are approximately 80 nucleotides in length. Their secondary structure includes four short double-helical elements and three loops (D, anti-codon, and T loops). Lineage: Eukaryota; Metazoa; Chordata; Mammalia; Eulipotyphla; Erinaceidae. The record is from Rfam by way of RNAcentral.